This 503-nucleotide ribosomal RNA is filed under the name Escherichia coli. RNAcentral describes it as "bacterial SSU rRNA". It matches the Rfam family "Bacterial small subunit ribosomal RNA", at positions 150 to 648 of the family's 1533-position model. Lineage: Bacteria; Pseudomonadati; Pseudomonadota; Gammaproteobacteria; Enterobacterales; Enterobacteriaceae. The record is from RNAcentral.
CUGGAAACGGUAGCUAAUACCGCAUAACGUCGCAAGACCAAAGAGGGGGACCUUCGGGCCUCUUGCCAUCGGAUGUGCCCAGAUGGGAUUAGCUAGUAGGUGGGGUAACGGCUCACCUAGGCGACGAUCCCUAGCUGGUCUGAGAGGAUGACCAGCCACACUGGAACUGAGACACGGUCCAGACUCCUACGGGAGGCAGCAGUGGGGAAUAUUGCACAAUGGGCGCAAGCCUGAUGCAGCCAUGCCGCGUGUAUGAAGAAGGCCUUCGGGUUGUAAAGUACUUUCAGCGGGGAGGAAGGGAGUAAAGUUAAUACCUUUGCUCAUUGACGUUACCCGCAGAAGAAGCACCGGCUAACUCCGUGCCAGCAGCCGCGGUAAUACGGAGGGUGCAAGCGUUAAUCGGAAUUACUGGGCGUAAAGCGCACGCAGGCGGUUUGUUAAGUCAGAUGUGAAAUCCCCGGGCUCAACCUGGGAACUGCAUCUGAUACUGGCAAGCUUGAGUC